AAAAUUGCGUGCAAGUAUUGCACUUAAAAGUGUAAGAAAGACUCUAAGAAUUUGAUCUAUUAAAAGGAAACUACUACAAUUAUCCUUCAACGUAAACUUGAGAUAAAUUUUAUUUUAAUUACGGAAUGCAUAAAUUUAAUAGAAAAAAGAAAAGAAAAACAAGAUGUGAUAUUGGUAAGAGAAAAAUAAAAGAAAAAAAAGGAGGGCUUAAAGUAACAAAUGCAAGAAGGCUAGUAUAAAUUAAAUGUACUGUCAAAAAGGGACAUGUAUGAAUGUAAUCUACACUUCUGAAACCUGUAAUUUGACAUGGCUGAUGAUAAAGAUACACAAUGAACAGAAAAAAACCAUAAAAUUUCGGAAAGCUUGUUAAUUCAAUAUAAAAGGUGAGUGUAUCAAAUAUUAAAGAAAAACAAUAAACACUUUCACUUUCUUUUUUAACAUGUAAAUCUAGCUAUAGGAUUCACAACUUGGUGAAUUUCAUCCUGAUGUUGUACCAUCCUACAGCCUUCCAAUUAAUAAAAAGUAAUAACUAAUUAGAAUCAUGAUUAUCCUUUGAAACUAGUUAUUUUUGUUAAUCAAUCAUCAUCAACCACAUUAUUUGUCUUUGUGGGAGAGACCUUAAUUUACUUUUUAUGUUAAAAAAUCA
RNAcentral lists this long non-coding RNA (646 nucleotides) under Gossypium raimondii (Peruvian cotton). RNAcentral describes it as "long non-coding RNA (GRAI_LNC002238)". Lineage: Eukaryota; Viridiplantae; Streptophyta; Magnoliopsida; Malvales; Malvaceae. The record is from RNAcentral.